CGAAGGGUGCUAGCGUUGUUCGGAAUCACUGGGCGUAAAGCGUGCGUAGGCUGUUUAACAAGUCAGGGGUGAAAUCCUUGGGCUCAACCCAAGAACUGCCUUUGAAACUGUUAGACUGGAGUGUCGGAGGGGAUAGCGGAAUUCCUAAUGUAGUGGUGAAAUACGUAGAUAUUAGGAGGAACACCGGUGGCGAAGGCGGCUAUCUGGACGACAACUGACGCUGAGGCACGAAAGCGUGGGGAUCAAACAGGAUUAGAUACCCUGGUAGUCCACGCUGUAAACGAUGGAUGCUAGCUGUCGGGGGGUUCCCCUCCGGUAGCGUAGCUAACGCGUUAAGCAUCCCGCCUGGGGAGUACGGUCGCAAGAUUA
RNAcentral lists this ribosomal RNA (369 nucleotides) under uncultured organism. RNAcentral's name for it is "bacterial SSU rRNA". It matches the Rfam family "Bacterial small subunit ribosomal RNA", at positions 526 to 896 of the family's 1533-position model. The record is from RNAcentral.